GACGAACGCUGGCGGCGUGCUUAACACAUGCAAGUCGAACGGAAAGGCCCUGCUUGCCGGGUACUCGAGUGGCGAACGGGUGAGUAACACGUGGGUGAUCUGCCCUGCACUUCGGGAUAAGCCUGGGAAACUGGGUCUAAUACCGGAUAGGAGCCAUUUUUAGUGUGAUGGUUGGAAAGUUUUUUCGGUGUAGGAUGAGCUCGCGGCCUAUCAGCUUGUUGGUGGGGUAAUGGCCUACCAAGGCGGCGACGGGUAGCCGGCCUGAGAGGGUGGACGGCCACAUUGGGACUGAGAUACGGCCCAGACUCCUACGGGAGGCAGCAGUGGGGAAUAUUGCACAAUGGGCGCAAGCCUGAUGCAGCGACGCCGCGUGGGUGAUGACGGCCUUCGGGUUGUAAACUCCUUUCGCUAGGGACGAAGCUUUUUGUGACGGUACCUAGAGAAGAAGCACCGGCUAACUACGUG
This 465-nucleotide ribosomal RNA is filed under the name uncultured bacterium. RNAcentral describes it as "partial 16S ribosomal RNA". It matches the Rfam family "Bacterial small subunit ribosomal RNA", at positions 28 to 507 of the family's 1533-position model. The record is from RNAcentral.